This 1688-nucleotide ribosomal RNA is filed under the name Salmonella enterica. RNAcentral describes it as "bacterial LSU rRNA". It matches the Rfam family "Bacterial large subunit ribosomal RNA", at positions 1271 to 2925 of the family's 2925-position model. The record is from RNAcentral. Lineage: Bacteria; Pseudomonadati; Pseudomonadota; Gammaproteobacteria; Enterobacterales; Enterobacteriaceae.
UGCUGGAGGUAUCAGAAGUGCGAAUGCUGACAUAAGUAACGAUAAAGCGGGUGAAAAGCCCGCUCGCCGGAAGACCAAGGGUUCCUGUCCAACGUUAAUCGGGGCAGGGUGAGUCGACCCCUAAGGCGAGGCCGAAAGGCGUAGUCGAUGGGAAACGGGUUAAUAUUCCCGUACUUGGUGUUACUGCGAAGGGGGGACGGAGAAGGCUAUGUUGGCCGGGCGACGGUUGUCCCGGUUUAAGCGUGUAGGUGUGUGUUCCAGGUAAAUCCGGUUCACUUUAACACUGAGGCGUGACGACGAGGCACUACGGUGCUGAAGCAACAAAUGCCCUGCUUCCAGGAAAAGCCUCUAAGCAUCAGGUAACAUCAAAUCGUACCCCAAACCGACACAGGUGGUCAGGUAGAGAAUACCAAGGCGCUUGAGAGAACUCGGGUGAAGGAACUAGGCAAAAUGGUGCCGUAACUUCGGGAGAAGGCACGCUGACACGUAGGUGAAGUGAUUUACUCAUGGAGCUGAAGUCAGUCGAAGAUACCAGCUGGCUGCAACUGUUUAUUAAAAACACAGCACUGUGCAAACACGAAAGUGGACGUAUACGGUGUGACGCCUGCCCGGUGCCGGAAGGUUAAUUGAUGGGGUCAGCGCAAGCGAAGCUCCUGAUCGAAGCCCCGGUAAACGGCGGCCGUAACUAUAACGGUCCUAAGGUAGCGAAAUUCCUUGUCGGGUAAGUUCCGACCUGCACGAAUGGCGUAAUGAUGGCCAGGCUGUCUCCACCCGAGACUCAGUGAAAUUGAACUCGCUGUGAAGAUGCAGUGUACCCGCGGCAAGACGGAAAGACCCCGUGAACCUUUACUAUAGCUUGACACUGAACAUUGAGCCUUGAUGUGUAGGAUAGGUGGGAGGCUUUGAAGCGUGGACGCCAGUCUGCGUGGAGCCGACCUUGAAAUACCACCCUUUAAUGUUUGAUGUUCUAACGUGGACCCGUAAUCCGGGUUGCGGACAGUGUCUGGUGGGUAGUUUGACUGGGGCGGUCUCCUCCUAAAGAGUAACGGAGGAGCACGAAGGUUGGCUAAUCCUGGUCGGACAUCAGGAGGUUAGUGCAAUGGCAUAAGCCAGCUUGACUGCGAGCGUGACGGCGCGAGCAGGUGCGAAAGCAGGUCAUAGUGAUCCGGUGGUUCUGAAUGGAAGGGCCAUCGCUCAACGGAUAAAAGGUACUCCGGGGAUAACAGGCUGAUACCGCCCAAGAGUUCAUAUCGACGGCGGUGUUUGGCACCUCGAUGUCGGCUCAUCACAUCCUGGGGCUGAAGUAGGUCCCAAGGGUAUGGCUGUUCGCCAUUUAAAGUGGUACGCGAGCUGGGUUUAGAACGUCGUGAGACAGUUCGGUCCCUAUCUGCCGUGGGCGCUGGAGAACUGAGGGGGGCUGCUCCUAGUACGAGAGGACCGGAGUGGACGCAUCACUGGUGUUCGGGUUGUCAUGCCAAUGGCACUGCCCGGUAGCUAAAUGCGGAAGAGAUAAGUGCUGAAAGCAUCUAAGCACGAAACUUGCCCCGAGAUGAGUUCUCCCUGAGACUUUAGGUCUCCUGAAGGAACGUUGAAGACGACGACGUUGAUAGGCCGGGUGUGUAAGCGCAGCGAUGCGUUGAGCUAACCGGUACUAAUGAACCGUGAGGCUUAACCUUACAACGCCGAAG